This 108-nucleotide small nuclear RNA is filed under the name Sus scrofa (pig). Lineage: Eukaryota; Metazoa; Chordata; Mammalia; Artiodactyla; Suidae. The record is from RNAcentral.
UUUGGCAGCACAUAUACUAAAAAAAAAAAAAUUGGAAUGAUACAGAGAAGAUUAGCAUGGCCCCUGCGCUAGGAUGACAUGCAAAUUAGUGAAGUGUUCCCGUCGUGG